CCAGUGCGUGUGUGUGAAAUAAAAUCUACCCUCCUACCUACCUUUGGGAAGAUCAUUUUGUUUUUUUGUGUUAUAAUCUUCAAAUUACCUUGCUACCCUUUGAUUAAUUGCCCCAAUUCAGAAAAUUAAUGGUAGGAUUGACCCAAUAAAUACUCUCUCCAAAGUGAAAACAGUCAUUUUUGUCCUGAAAAGUGUCACUCGUUGUCAUAAUCG
This 213-nucleotide long non-coding RNA is filed under the name Trifolium pratense (red clover). RNAcentral's name for it is "long non-coding RNA (TPRA_LNC003214)". The record is from RNAcentral. Lineage: Eukaryota; Viridiplantae; Streptophyta; Magnoliopsida; Fabales; Fabaceae.